RNAcentral lists this non-coding RNA (21 nucleotides) under Arabidopsis thaliana (thale cress). Lineage: Eukaryota; Viridiplantae; Streptophyta; Magnoliopsida; Brassicales; Brassicaceae. The record is from RNAcentral.
UAAAACUAACCUGUCUCACGA